This is a long non-coding RNA of Onychostoma macrolepis, 2897 nucleotides long. RefSeq lists it as uncharacterized. The transcript has 3 exons. The record is from RefSeq and is a predicted model, not a curated record. NCBI's taxonomy places the organism in Eukaryota, Metazoa, Chordata, Actinopteri, Cypriniformes, Cyprinidae.
CGCCGUUGUUGUUCCCUCGCUUGUGAGAAUUCAUGUAGCUUUUAAGUUGUUUACUGAUAAAAUCGUCAGAGUAGCGCUAACAACAUUAGCACGAUGUAUGUUAGUGUGUGUGCAAACUGUAACUGUUAUGUGUGUGAGGUCUGUGAGGGAGAGAGAGCGGGAGAGAUAGAGUGUGUGCUUUCCGUACAUAAUAAAGCGUAAUUUUGUGGCAAAAACAUGGACAUGAUCUGUCGUUUUUAUCAUACUGUUUACUAUAUGUAUUUGUUUGGCCAGUGUCGUCGUGGGUUUUGGUUAUUUUGCUGUUGUAAGACCUUAGAAAUAACAGAAAUCAUUUGGCGAAGUGAUAUUGUCAUGUAAUGCGGUCAAGAGCUGCCUGGAACUAUGUUUGCCGUGCGUUUCCCUGAAAAUAAUUGCACACCUCAGAACGUUCGUCAGCCAAUCAGAUUCAAGCAUUCAACGGCCCCGUAGUAUAAAAUGCAUUUGUUGCACACACAGAAGAGGCGAUGUUGUCUGUUGGCACAUAUUAGUUUUUAUUUUGUCACACUCUGCAAAGUUAACAAACACAACAAGAAAUUAGUUCAUUUCACAGUAGUGUGUUUCAACGACUGGCAGUGUGACUUCUUCAUACAUCAGGGCUCGCAAAAUCGCUAGCCCGAAGUCGCGGGGCUAUUGUGUUUUCCAGUCGGGCUACCAAAAUGUAUCACCGCCUGCCCGACGGGCUACCUUAAAUACAGAUCUCCCGCGGGUCCUUAAAAACUCUUAAAGUGAGUUGUAUCACACUUAAAGUUUUAAAUACGUUAAAUGGUAUAAGAAAUGUCUUAAUUAUCAUUUCUAAAGGUCUUACAGUUGGGGACGGAAAGACAAGAGUCGCGAUACGGCUGGAUUAAACUUCAAAAGGCAAUGAUGUCAUUGAAUAAAUAUGAGCGCGGCACGUUUCAAGUCAAACCGCGGCGCGGAUGCAUUUAUGUGAAUGUAUCUGAAGGGAACCGACUGUCCUCAGAAACGUGUCGUUGGCAUUUUAAUUUCAUUUUACCUAUAAUUCCUGAUAAAGCAGCGUUUAUGAGCGAAGAGCGUAGUGUACAGCGUUUCCGGGGAAACAGCAAUAUUUCAGCGCUCCUAAAGCGCCACCUCGUGGCAGAGAAUGAAUUUGCAUUUCCAAUAAGCCUUUCUUGCUGUUUAUGGUCAGAUCAAUGCAAAUAUCAUCUUUUUACGCAGCAAACAGUUGUAAAUGAGAAAGAAGUUAAUGUGCCUUCUAAAAAUGUAAACAAUUACAUAUACAUAAUACCUGACCAUAAUACCUUAAAUUAACAUGAAAACCUGUAUCUGAACUGUAAAUAAUGUAAUUUUAUGGCUCAAUACUGUAUGUUACCAUAGACAUUGUCCAACCCCGCUCAUUCUGUGUUCAGUUUACUUGUGCAGCUCUUAAAAUGGAUCAUAAAUUGCCUUAAAUUUAUUUUUAAAAAUUCUGUGCAGACCCUGUAAAUAGUGAAAUAAGAUUCCUUCCUUCAUAUUUGUUUAUAUUUGUGUAUUGAAAAUAUUUUUUAUUUGACAUUUAAACUCCUAUCGGGUUUUCUACAUUUAAAAAAAUAAAUAAAUAAAUAAAUAAAAAAUUGUUUUUUUUUUUUAUUUGGGCUAGUUAAAUUAAUUUUCGGGCUACCAAAAUCUGAAGAGUACCUGCCCGAACCCAGAUAGCAGGGUGACAUUGAUUCAAUGUUGAAAUUCCAUCAGAAUCAUCAUUUUGGUUGAGGUUGAAAAUUCAAUGCUAAAUAAUAUUGGAUCAAUGUUGAUAAUUCAAUGCUUUUCAGUGUUGAAAAGACAAAUAUUGAAUCAAUGUUGAUUUUUGGUCAGCAUUUCACUGGUGAAACUUUAGACUGUCAAUCCCUCAUUCAGCACUUAAAUAUGGUACAUUUUCCUCAAUUGUAGUGAGCACAUGCUCAUCAAACAAUAAAUUCUGUACAUUUUGUAAACUCGUCACCACUAGCAGCACCGUUAAAUAAAUAAAACUGUCUGCUGGGUGUGUGGAUUAACAAAGAACUGUGACCAUUAGAUAGAACUCAGAUAAACCAGCUGGAUAUUAUUAUUAUUAUUAUUAGCAGCAGCAGUAGUAGUAAUGUUUUUACAUUAGUAAUUAAUGUUCAUUACCUGUUUUUGGCUAGCUAGAGGAGUACAUUCAGCCAGAGACUGAUGAUGAUUCUUGUGGUCAUUUUAAAUUAUAAUUAAACAUUUAAAUUAUAAUUAUCUUUAUAUUAUUUAUAAUUUAUAUAUUCAUUAUAAUUAUUAGAUUUAAAUCAUGUGGAAUUUACAUACAUUUAAUGAAUCUAAAGAGAAUAGAGAGAAUUCAGAGGGUUUUUUCAUGCGGCACAAUCCAGUCCAUUAGGUGGCAGUAAUGCAGCUAACGCUGGCUGCCAACCGCCAAUCAAAUCAAAGCGCGGGAGAACAGAUUUCAAAUGCGCAACGGACGGAGACCAGGCCUAAAGGAUAACAGCAAACUGUUUUUAGAGGUAAGUAAUAAAAGAUUUAAAAAGAAAAAAAAAACUUGACAUAAAACAUAACGCAUAGAAAUAAUUAUAUAUAUAAAAAAAUCGUUGUAACUUAACUUACUUUCUUUACAGAGAGUUCCCUUUAUAUGACGACAGAUGUUGAUCCUUCACUUAGCUACGAACACAACAGAUUCAGGUCAGAGAAAAAAAGUAGUGACUUAAUUUCGCGUAUAUUUCACUAUUCAUCUUCCGUUAUAACUGAUGUGUUUUUCUGGACAAGUCCGAGUGAACUGCGAGUCACAUGAACACGCAACGUCCAGACCAACGAACGGCCGAGCCCAUCAGAGGGACAUCUCCUUGGUUUGCUCACAUCAGGUCAGAGGAUGGAAUCUCCUGGAUCAAGGUUAAUAAUAAAAG